AGGUUAAGUUAUUAAGGGCGCAUGGCGGAUGCCUUGGCACUAGAAGCCGAUGAAGGACGGCACUAACACCGAUAUGCUUCGGGGAGCUGUAAGUGAGCUUUGAUCCGGAGAUUUCCGAAUGGGGGAACCCACUGUUUUUAAUAGGACAGUAUCUACACGUGAAUUCAUAGCGUGAUGAUGGCAGACUCAGGGAACUGAAACAUCUAAGUACCUGAAGGAAGAGAAAGAAAAUUCGAUUCCCUUAGUAGCGGCGAGCGAAACGGGAAGAGCCCAAACCAAGAAGCUUGCUUCUUGGGGUUGUAGGACACUCUAUACGGAGUUACAAAGGAAUGAGUUAAGCGAAGCGGCAUGGAAAGGCCCACCAAAGAAGGUAACAGUCCUGUAGUUGAAAGUUCAUUCCCUCCAGAGUGGAUCCUGAGUACGGCGGAACACGUGAAAUUCCGUCGGAAUCUGGGAGGACCAUCUCCCAAGGCUAAAUACUCUCUAGUGACCGAUAGUGAACCAGUACCGUGAGGGAAAGGUGAAAAGCACCCCGGAAGGGGAGUGAAAGAGAUCCUGAAACCAUGUGCCUACAAGUAGUUAGAGCCCGUUAAUGGGUGAUAGCGUGCCUUUUGUAGAAUGAACCGGCGAGUUACGAUCCCAUGCAAGGUUAAGCUGAUAAGGCGGAGCCGUAGCGAAAGCGAGUCUGAAUAGGGCGAAUGAGUAUGUGGUUGUAGACCCGAAACCAGGUGAUCUACCCAUGU
This 743-nucleotide ribosomal RNA is filed under the name Candidatus Kurthia intestinigallinarum. RNAcentral's name for it is "Kurthia sp. 3B1D partial 23S ribosomal RNA". It matches the Rfam family "Bacterial large subunit ribosomal RNA", at positions 1 to 739 of the family's 2925-position model. Lineage: Bacteria; Bacillati; Bacillota; Bacilli; Caryophanales; Caryophanaceae. The record is from RNAcentral.